This 254-nucleotide ribosomal RNA is filed under the name uncultured bacterium. RNAcentral describes it as "partial 16S ribosomal RNA". It matches the Rfam family "Bacterial small subunit ribosomal RNA", at positions 524 to 776 of the family's 1533-position model. The record is from RNAcentral.
UACGGGGGGAGCAAGCGUUGUUCGGAUUUACUGGGCGUAAAGGGCGCGUAGGCGGUCAGCACAAGUCAGUUGUGAAAUCUCCGGGCUUAACCCGGAAAGGUCAACUGAUACUGUGCGACUAGAGUGCGGAAGGGGCAACUGGAAUUCUCGGUGUAGCGGUGAAAUGCGUAGAUAUCGAGAGGAACACCUGCGGCGAAGGCGGCUCACUGGUCCGGUACUGACGCUGAGGUGCGAAAGCAUGGGGAGCGAACAGG